Molecule: long non-coding RNA, 41927 nt
Filed under: Brachypodium distachyon (stiff brome)
Lineage: Eukaryota; Viridiplantae; Streptophyta; Magnoliopsida; Poales; Poaceae
Description: long non-coding RNA (BDIS_LNC005010)
Source: RNAcentral
GGGGAGGGUGUUAUACCUGUUGCCGGCACCACUUCCAUCGGGGCUGGAUCACCGGCAGGUGCGGGGGCGGCGCCACUUGCCCCUGUGCCAGCCGGGUCGGCGCCGCUGCCGGCAUCCGUGCGCGCCUUCUUGCUUGGCACGGCAGGCGGAGAAUUGUCCCUGCCCCUCUUGCCGGCGCUUGCCGACAAAUCGGCCUUCGGGGGGUUGCGCCGGAGCGCGAAGCCCCGGAAGAUCCCUCGUGCGGAUGGGGCCGUGGGUGCCCGUGGGGUGCCGCGGCCCGGGGCGCCACAGGAACCAUCGAUGGAGCCGCACGGUGUCGGCGGCCACGGCGGGUGUGGCUGCCGGGUCGCGGGCGGUCGCUGUCAAGGGGGCGCCGCCGCGGCCGCCGGAGCCGCUGGGGGGUGGUCGCCGCUGGGGGGCCGGCGGACGCCGCCGAGGCGGUCGCCGUCGUGGAGCCGGUACCCGCCGCGGGUGCGGUUUAGGCCUGGUAAUGGCUUGAAACCCGCCCCGUAUCCAAACCAAACCAUUCAAGCAUAUGUGAAUUAACCAAACCAAGCCGGACGAAAACUUAUUUUCUAGAAUCCAAACUGCACCAAUUCAUCCUUGUUUUCUCCCCGGAACACACCAAACCAUGGGUUCAACCUUGGCUCUUCUAUCCCCGCCGGCAGCGAGGCCUAAUUCCACCCUCGCGUUCAAUGUUCGGUGCCAGCCACGACAACGAGAGAGAGAGAUUGAGAGAUUGGGGCUAGCUGGAGAGAGAGAGAGUGUCUUGGGGCUGGCCGGCUGGGGUGAAGGGGCUGGGCUGGAUGAGGGAGCGGCCAGCGUAGACGGAAGUGGAACGACGACGAUGUAUGCGAUGGGGCCAGAGGCAUCGGCGGUGGCGCCGCAGCGGGCGAAGCGCAUAGUGUAUCGCACGGACUCAGCCCAAACCAGAUCAUUCCAAACCACAAUUAGACUAAAACCAGACCGAUCCAAACCACUUUUAAUCUCUAACACCUAAAGGCCCCCGUGUACGCCCACGCGGGGAGGAAACGCCACUAAAGCAGCGCGAUGCGCCGGGUGAUGAAGACCCGCGCCACGUCGAGAUCAGAGAGCCCGGCUAGCUGAAGGGCCUUGAUCUUCUCCACGAUGGGGAGGAGGUCGGCGUCGCGGUGGUACCGGUCCCGCCAGCCGGGGGCCUUCAGCGGCAACUCGGUGGGCGGAAAGAUGAACUCCUCGGGCUCGUCCACACGAACCCAGCACCAGUCCAUGCGCCACUCCUUCUCGAUCUUCUUGUCCAACUGGACGAUGAACUCUGACUUCAUCCGGUCGCGGGCACGAAACACCACCCCCGACGACAUCGCUUUCUUGUUCUCGAUGCAGGGGUAGAAGUAGUGCCGGAACAACGCCACCGAUGGCAUCACUCCGACAAACCCCUCGCAGAGGAAGGAGAAGAUGGCAAGGAGGUAGAGGGACAUUGGGUGGAGCUGCGGCACCCGCAGCUGGUACGUUUCCAUGAGUGCGUGGAGGAAUAGGGAGAAUGGAGGCACCAACCAGGCGAGUAUGAAGCGUCCGAACACCCGGAAGUCGGUGGACUGGACGUCGGCACCGGCGGGGAAGAUCAGGGUCUUCCCGUGCUCGUUGAAGUCCGAGGCGGCAGCGUGCUGGAGCUUGCCCACCGCCUCGCCGUUGUAGCCGGGCCAGAAGAAGGCAAGCGUGGCCCGCAUCUCUUGCUUCUUUAACUCUUUCUCUUCGGCGGCCUUGGUGGCCGCCGUGCUCUUGCUCUUCGAGGGCUUCGCCUCCUUCCCUUUUUUGGUUGUGGGGGGACCCAUGGGAGCGUGGGUGGAAGAUUGGCAAGGUUCUCGGGCGCAAGAUGCGAAAAGAUGGAAAGAGAAGGCUGGGAGGCUAAGUGUUUACCCCUCAGCGCAGCAGUGAAGCUUUAUAACACUCUGCCAUUUGGUAACGGUCGUUUCCGCACCCAGCAGGUGCGCUGGGUUAACUACAGAUCGUGGGGAUAAUGCGGUAAGUGGCCUUAACUUCCUUGUUUAAGGGAGAGGUUACGGCGGAAAUCUCACACCCACCCCUUCACCCGUAACGGCGGGGUCACUGGAUGACGAAGAGACACGGGCCCGAGUCGAAUCGGGACCCACGCGUCGGUUGGGGCGUAGCCCGGCAACCGGCCAGGGAAGGGUUCGCCCGGGAACGGGUGUUGCCGGCCCACGCCCGGGGGCUCCUGUCGCACCAGUGGCACCCGGGGUGCCACCACUGCACGACGCAUGGGUCGCAUCGCUUGGUCCCUGGGAGGAUCACACCCCGGGCGGCAACGUGCAAGCUGCCCGGCAAGCUACCAGCCCGGCAGGGCUAGCGGGGCUUCGGGGAAUAAUCUCGCCGGGGCGCUUCCCGGGAGGUAACUUGCCGAGAGGAGGCGUUCCCGGGCGCAGGUUCCUGCUGCGAAGGCAGGGCCGAGCAAACAGAGCACCAGCGCCACGUGGGCGUGCGGCAGGCGCCCAGUGUGCAGGGUCACCAGGACGAGGAGUAUAGCGCAAGACACAUUUAAUGAGCCGACAGGAGGGGGGUUAUCCGUCUAGUCAGGCAAACAGUGGCUGCCCAGAGCUAGUUUAUAGGGUAUUAGACCCCUAGUCGCAGGGCUGGCGCUCUUGCAUGUCUGCAAGUGCACCGAGGAGGAGCUGCCCAAGCUCCCUGCUCGCCACUUGUAAUCCAUGCACCGUGGCACCUGUGGCAUUCCCUUGGCUAUAAAAGGAGGAACCCCGCCAGCAGUCAAGGGGUUGAGUUCUGUUCGGUUUUUCUCGUUGGAUUAAGUCACAGUGCACUACUAGCCCUAGCCGGGAGUAGCAAGGAGCAGUUAGCUAAAAAGAGAGCACCUGGGGACCCUCCCCCGGCAACUUGUAAACACUCAAUCUUUCGAUAAUACGAGCUCAGACAAGCAGGACGUAGGGUUUUACACCUCCGGGUGGCCCGAACCUGGGUAAAACGUGCGUGCAUGUGUCCAUAGCGUUUUUGCAGGCCACGCAUCGGCCCCACCGGCGGUCGUUGGAGCGACCCCUGUCGCCCUCUGCCGAACCUAAAAAGGGGGUGCCCGCACACCCCCGGUGUCAAAGCCCCGUGCUGCGACACCGCCCAGCGCCUGACGUCUCCGUCACCGCUUGGCACCUCACCCGAUCCUUUGGACUACGAGCCCGCGGAACGAGACUUCUCACCUGCGGCGGAGUGCAGCGACGACAAUGCAGGCCAAAAUCCUCCGUCGCUGCCCAAACCCGAAGCCCCGAAGCCAUCCGCACCAAGACCCGUCCCUCAGAGAGCCGCAGCACAAUCGGCCCCGUUGGAGCCCCGUCCAAGUGCCCCAUCUGGGAUGCAGGUCCCCCAUAAACCGGCCAGUUCCGAUUUCCUGAGACGCAGGAAAAACAAGAGGGGGACAGGCGGCAAGGCAAGCAAGGGCUUCUCCAAGGAGGGGAAAGAGUCGUCUUCUACGGGAAGAAACCCAAAGACCGCGCCGCAGAUAGAAGGGAUUUGGGAAGAGCGACCAGACAUUCUGAAGAUGCCGACCCACCCCCGUGUUGGAGAUAGAUUGCCUGAUAGAUCUUAUUUCGUGGACAGGCGAUUCUCCCAAUUUUUGUUGUUCCACCCCGGACAACCGAUGGUGUCUCAGGAAGACCUGUAUCGCCUGCCACGGGAGAUGCAAGAGCUCCAUGAAAAGUACAUGAAUGUGGCAUCAUCAGGCGCAGACCUAACAAAUAUGGAAAUUAGGGUUCGAGUGCCAAAGCAUUAUGUCUUCUUCGACUCCAAUACGGGGCAAAUCCAAAGGGAAAACGACGUUACCUUCGGCAUUGACUUUCUCGACUUGUUUCACCUCUUCAACCGCAAGUGCCUCGACAACGCCAUAUUAAGACUGCGGUGUGUACACUACACGAGGGAGGCCUAUAGGGUGAAGCAAUAUGGGAUGGCCGUCGCCGACCCCCUUCUCUUCAACGCCACUUUGCUUGGUCCAGACCCAUUGUUGGCCGAAAGUAGAAGGUUGGCGAUUGAAUACCUCACUCAAUUCAUGUUGAAGCACCAAGACCGCCGUUUUGUAUUGAUAUUGUACCAUCUACAGUAAGUUGUUUUCAAUUCGCGUGAAUACAUACAUCUUUUUCCGUCAGAAGACUAGCUUGUUACAUUAUUUGGCUAAUACAAUGUGCGUCCUUUUGUGAAACAUCGGCCAUUGGGUGACAAUCGCCAUCUGCCUCGAUAUGAGAGGGGUUACAUAUUUUGAUCCACUGCGACGCAAGGAAAAUGAACCACAACGCGACUUUGAGCCGAUCAAAUAUGUCAUCGACGCAGCCUAUCGCGACGCGGUGAAAUGGUACGCGAUGCCUAGCUUCAGCCGCAAUCGUGACGCUCCCCUCAGGCACACUUUCAACUUCCCCUGCAAGCAACAGCCUGAAGGAUCCGUCUACUGUGGUUACUACUGCGCGCACACUAUUCAGCAGACUUCCAGCCGAAGGGGAAGCAAACCUUCGAAGAAGUGAGGAAUUGGUUUCUGGCCAACGCCGAGUUAGGGCAUAACUCAGAAAUUCUCGUGUACGAGAUCCAGAAGGACAUCGGCGAAAUCCUCAACAAGGAGGUCCUCAAAUCGAGCGGGGAUUACUACGGCGGCGGGAUUGUCGACAAAAGAGGCUAAAUUGUGUGGAACACUUCUAUUUGUGGCUCAUUCUUUCAAACACUUUGUAUACAUGCAUGUGACUUGAAUGUUUAACUCGUGUGGAACUUUGUAAUAUAUUUGCUGCUAUUCUGUUUCUUUGGUGUUGUAUACUGUGCUGCUGUAUUCCUGCUAUGUGUUGUAUUCCUGCUAUUUCUGUGCUACAGGAAUAUUUAUUUUUAUACAUAAUUCUUUUUUCGGAAAAAAAUAGUACCAGUGGCGGUUAUACACCACCGCCACUGGAAAAGGUGUUCCAGUGGCGGUGGCCAAAGACCGCCACUGGAAAUGUCUAGUGGCGGGUAAUUUGCUCGCCACUGAUGUACUCCACGCACUUUUCGGGUGGUGCCGGAGGGAUUUACAGUGGCGGUUUGUAGGUCUUCGGUGGCGGGUAUUUUACCCGCCAUUGGUGAUCUCAGUGCAGCAGUGGCGGAUAUUUUACCCGCUACCAUUGCUAAAACCUCCAGUUACGCAGAGUGGGUGGCAGACGUGACCACCGUCACCAACCCCAUUUUUUGACCGUCACUGGAGGGGUUUUCUGGAGUAGUGCGCUGAUUUGGCUUCCUUUCCUUGUUUGGGAGGACAUUUCUACCCGAAGUGUUCUAGAGACCCAGGAGAUUAGUACAUUUGGUCUUGCUUUUUCCUUUUUUUCUUCUUUUGUUUUUCCCGGGAUCCACCUUGGAUCUCCCUGUACAGUGCUUUCCUUGUAAUCAAAUGACUGGUAUCGACUGUCUCUUCCUAAAAAAUAAACCAGGACGCAGAGAGGAGGAGGGCAGACUCAGCCUGGAUAUGAAGCAAGGACAAUGUACUGAGUAUCUGUUUUAUCCUUAAAAAAGGGACUUCGUAGAGAGGGCGGAGUAUUUUAAUUUACAGUUUACACCAUAAUCCAUAGUAUAUGUGCCUAGCCUUCUGAUCCGCUGGAUGCACCAACCAGGAGGCAACUGCAUGCUAUAGCGCUCCAGGCCAAUAAAUUCUCAAGCAACACGCACUGAUAUGCAGCUACAGUAGUCAAGCUAGCAACACUUGUCGCUUUCCUCCUGUUCUUCUCCUUCCUUUGAGAUCUCUGGCAUGCAUCCACCGGCAAGCUAGCGUCUGUCCCUUUGCAAGCAACCUUGUUUGUUCUGAACCACAAACCAAAUAAACUACAGUUCUGCAUGCAAAUUGGACAAGGCGCUAGAGAACAUGCAGGGCUGUGCAUAUGUACACAUGAGAUCGAGACAUAUAACCAUGCAUACACACAUGCAAAACUCUUAGGAAAGCAGUUGACAUGGCAGAACCGGUCUUCACAUGCGAUAACUGUUUCGUCGGAAAAGGCAGGUAGACAUAUGUUCUCUAACUCAUAUAUGGUCGAUGCACACAUGCAGGGAGCAGAUCAGCACUGCUCUGAGAUCAGCAGUAGUAGUACACAUGUUGUUUCAAAUACCAGUAGCAAGCUUCUCCGAUCAUGUAGACAUGAUUCAUUUAGAGCCUAGAAUCCUCUUACGUGUAUCUCUCAGUCUCUCGCUACUACGUAAUGACCCUUUCCCGUACCCCUUUGGUGGCACCCCCCGUGAUGACUUCUGAUACAUACAUUUUACAUCAUCAUUAUUAAAUCAUAUCGGUUUAGUUUUUAAUAAUAUUAUUACUAUCAUAUAUGUUCUUUUUUACAUGUUUUUAGAAUAUUUUGUAGACUUUCUUGUAAAGUCCCAACAUUUUGGUAUUUAAUUCUGGCAGACAAAAUUCGUGCAUUUUCUUGUUUUGAUGUUUCAGGUACCUUUGGGGCGUCAAAAAUAUCGAGAAGGAAAACAGAAUUCCUGCAUUUUCUUGUCUGUUGGCACCAAUGUAUUUUUUAGUCAGCAGUGUGUUGGUAUUUGAUGAGAUUGAGUGUUCACUCAAUACUCUUAGAAAACACUAGAAUGACAAGUGUUUUUAAUUGAUACAAAAGUGAGGUGUUCAGUGAGGAGGGGACUAGGGAUAAUUUUUUCUAAUUCUCUAUACCAAACGACCAUUCAGGUUUAUAAUAUUUUUCAAUCUGGAGUGAAUUAUGACCUAAAAAGAAUACUGAAAACACCUGUGCCAAAUAAGACCUCAGGUGUUUCCUCUCGUAACGACGGGCUGAAAACACCUGUGCCGAGCAGGAAAACAGAAACGACCGAUCAAGCGCGGUUUUGGGCUGCCGUCGGAAUUGUUUCCGGCUCCGAGUUUUACCCAGUAUUGGGCCGGAAAACGGCCAUCCAAACCGGCCUAAUCUGUUUCCGUUUCAAUUUCUCUGUCCUAUACCGAUACGACGUACGGUACUUCCUUUGCUCUUGCUCUCCCGAUUCCUGCCGUGCCUACCGUCCCCCCCAAUCUGACCCUGUACAGCUGCCGCCGUGCCAUACCUCUCGUACGCGGCGCUCAUCGCAUCACUGCGGCGGCCUCCUCCGCCGCCCCCCGUCCCGCGCCCAACUCGAUUCCCCGCCACUUACGCUCGUCGGCGGUUUCGCCACCAUCUCCACCUCAUCUCGUCCCUGGUGUCUGAACCCCGUCCGCAAUUUUGGCCAUUGGUUACUCAGGUAUGAGCCAAUCUGUCAUCAAUGAUUAGUUAAACCCCACUGGCUGCCAGAAAUUUGGGUUUGGCAGAACUCGGAACACCAUCCAGAUACCCCCUGUUUAUAUGGAUGGUACUGGUAUGCAACUUUGUGUUAAGGUCAGGUGGCAUGUUUUACGAUCUCUUGGGUACAGUCGGGGGUAGAAAUCGUGCCUGAAAUUAAGCAAUUGGAUUUUUCAUUGUUAGUUUAGGCGACGGCGAUGCCAUUGUCAAAACUGGAUUUGCUAGUAUCCGAAAGUCAGGUAUCAUGCUGAAAGGUAGUUUCUGUAGAUUGUUGGGUUGUGGACUAUUGGAUAGUUUGCUUUGUUCUGCAUCUGCGCCACACUGACAGGCCUAGAUGUGGAUGGUAUUGGAAUUGAUCGCUUGUUUUCUUAUGUUUUUACUGUCAAUUGAGUUGCCACAGAGUGGAGUUUGUGUAAGCCCAGUUGACAUAUUGACUUUAAUGCACUAGGAGUAUAACUUUUCUAUAAUUAGCCGUUAUUUCCAUGUUUAGAAAACCAAUCAAUGAUGUCUUUGUAGCAAUGCUUCGUUUCCUUUUCUCAUGAAGCAGCUAUUGCAUAAGUGUUGUCUGGAAGAAUUGAAAUAAUGUUCUUGAAUGACUGUUUCUUCCAUUACCAUCAGUCUAUGGCGCAAGGUCCGGAAGAUAAAUAUUUUAAAGGUUUCUUCCAGGUGAUCAGCUGUGGCAUGCAAGGAAGUCUUCAGCUUUAUGAUGUCCUUUCUGAAGGGCACACCCACUCAAACAGUAUUUAAGUGGCCAUGGAGAAGCCAACCACAGUUAUCAGCACAUCUGCUAGCUGAUGUUCCACCUCAAAUCGAGUUGUCCGACUACCGAAGAUUACCAAGCUCUGCUAGUGAGACCCCAUCAAGGCUUCUUCAUGGAGAAGACAUAAAGGCUGACCUCAUUCCAGACCUGGAUAUUUUCUUUGAGAGGCUUUAUGAAUAUUUCUGUGCAAAAGGUCUAAGAUGCAUAAUAAUCAAGUGGAUAAUUGAGAUCCUCAAUGUGACAUUUGUGCUAUGUUCUAUUGGUUUUUUCUUCUUGUUUGUUGAUUGGGGUUCCCUCUCCCACUUAAAAUGUGGGGUGGAAGCACUUGAGUCUGGGGAGAAACCAUGUGACCUGAUGAAAGUCAUUAAGAAUGACCCGUUAGUGCCAUUCACAUUUCUGAAGAUGGUCACUGUUGGGUCGAUGGUUAUAUUGACUGUUUAUGGACUUAUUAACUUUCUGAAGUUUUUUGUAAAACUGAGAAGCACUCUCAAUGUUCGCGACUUCUACAAUAACAGGUAAUAUUUCAGGUUCAUGCAUCAUACGCGUUAUUAACUACUGCUGAGUACGACAGGUGACUUAGCAAUAUGCUUCCCUUUUUUUGUAGUCUUAAGGUUACAGAUCUUGAGAUACAAACCAUAUCAUGGCCCAGAGUAGUUGAGAAGGUUGUCCUUUUCCAGAAAUCACAACGGCUAUGUGUUGUUAAGGAUCUCUCGGAGCAUGAUAUCAUCAUGCGAAUCAUGCGGAAAGAGAACUACUUGAUUGGGAUGGUUAAUAAAGGCAUAAUUGCAUUUCCCAUUUCCCGUUGGCUGCCUGGAGCUGGUCCAACUGUCAGUUCUCGUAUGCAUGGAAGGAAAAGCUAUCUGAUGCUUCCAAAGACCCUUGAGUGGAGCUUGAAUUGGUGCAUCUUUCAGAGCAUGUUUGACAGGUAAGUAACUAUAAUUCUGCUUCUUGUACCCUAUUGGAAGCAUAUUCUAUGUAUGCAGCAUGGAGCAUUGUACCCUCCAUGAUGAACUGAUUCAUAUCUUGUACAGAUCCAUUUGUAUCAUUAUAUGUAUGUUAGGCAUUGAAAAUAAAUUAAUGAUUAAGUGAUAGAGGAAUGUAGACCUCGUUGACCUUUUCGUAGACAUUUGGAACUGUAGUAUUAACCUUAUUAAGGUGUGAAAUGAGAUGUGCUACAAUGAAGAUGAUGCGAACAUGCGAAUCUCAAAGCAUGAACCGACGCUGCAUCUAGGUCUGGUAUAACCCAGCGGGCAGCCACAUAUCAUCCAUAUGUCAUAAAGCAUGGACAUACUGCAGGCAAACAUGGAUUUUUUUUCCAUGUCAUAACAUAUGCAAACAUUUACUGUUGGUUAGCAUAUAUCUUUGAAAUUAUUAACUUCUGGUAGAGAUAACUUGAUGAGUAGUGAAUAAAGUAGAGAUAACAAUGUCGCUGAACAGGUGAUUUUAAUUGCAUUUGAGCAAUGUUAUCGAUGUAAAACUAAAACAACCCGAUCAGUAGUGACUAAGCUAGAGAUAACAAUCUAGGUAACGCAAUUACGAUAAAAAGUACUUACGAGUAUGAAUUGCGGAAACACAAUCUAGGUGACUCAAUUAUGCUAAAAAGUACUAAAGAGUAUGAACUGCAGAAACGUAAGUCUGUCAAAGAGACAACAAAACACAAGAAGCACAAGACCAUGUUUUAUUGAGUUCAGGUACCGUACCUCUCUGUUGAGGAAGCUUGAUCCGAUGAUCAAGCCGGCUCCAAAACAAGCUCUUGUCCUUGCAAGAUCAGUCUCACUUGUGAUGAUCCUUCACCUUGUGUUAGGUGGAUCUCAAACCUUCACUAACACUUGGGCCUCUUCACAAUCCUAAUUUUUUCUACAGUUGUCCGAGUAGAUCUAGUUGCUGUAAACAUCUAAUAUUGUUCAGAAUUUAGUGCUCUUGUAUCCCUGAUUAUUUACAUAAUUUCCCUUGUUGCUUCAAAAUGUGUGCUACUAUUUAUUUCCACCUCUUUUAGUCUGUUAGUUGAUACCGUUUUUAUUUUGCCUUCAGAUCUCAUUUCAUGUUCUCUUGCAGCAAAUUUUGUGUUAGAGAAGAUUUUUUAGCGAGUCCAUCUCUAUUGAAAAAACGGCUUAUAUUUAUGGGUAUAACGAUGCUUCUUCUAUCACCCUGCCUUGUAAUCUUCCCACUGGUAUACCUGUUCCUGAGACACGCUGAAGAGUUCUAUAAUCACCCUAGUACAGCAUCAUCUCGAAGAUGGUCAAAUCUAUCACGGUGGAUCUUGAGGGAGUUCAACGAGGUAGUUUCUCUAGUAAAACAAGUUCUUUCUGAAAAGAAAUGACAGUACUUGGAAUAUUCUAAACUCUGGAUGAUCAUGUGCCCCCUAUCCCUUUGCUAACUCCACUGCUUCUAACAAUUCAGGUUGAGCAUUUCUUCAAACAUAGGAUGAACAAUAGCACUGUGUAUUCUUUAAAUUAUUUCAAGCAGUUUCCGACUCCACUAGUAUCUAUUGUUGCCAAAUUCAUAUCAUUUGUAUCUGGUGGCUUGGCUGGCAUUCUUCUCAUCCUUGGAUUUCUGGGAGAAUCCAUCCUUGAGGGCCAUGUAAGUUUAUUUCUGUUUGUUCAAGAUUUCAGUGUUACACAAUGAUCUACUUUUUCACCUUUUAAGAUAUCAUAUCAUAUUCAUAAAUUAUGAAGGUUUUUGGUCGAAAUCUAUUCUGGUAUACUAUUGUUUUUGGAACAAUAGCAACUGUAAGCCGGAAAGUCGUGGCUGACGAACUUCAAGUGAUUGAUCCAGAAGGAGCCAUGUCCUUUGUGGUCCAGCAGACACAUUAUAUGCCAAAAAGGUGGCGUCGUAAAGAGAGCAGCGAACUUGUGCGAAGUGAAUUUGAAACUCUAUUUCAGGUAACUUGGUACUCACUAGUCACUACACAGUUCUUUUGCUGCCAAAUUAUCGGUCAAUUCAUUACUUGCAAAUUACAAAUGCGAAGCGACCAUUAUUGACCGUAGCCACAAGGAAGUAUUGUCCUCAGUGUUUGUAUCAGUUAGCCUCACUUGAGCAGGCUUCAUUCAUCCUUAUUAUUUUUAACUUUUAAUUUCCAGUCAUUUAUUUUCAUUUUGACAAGAAAAAUAAAAGAAAUAACAUCUACAGUUGUUUUUCUCUCAUAUAAAUAGACAACAUUUUCUUUUCAAUUUAUUAAAUGGUGUCUAAAUAAUAAGUACUUACUGCUUUUAUGCUGCCAACUAUUAACCAGUUUUGAUAGAGGGUUGGUUGAUCCAAAUAAGAAAGUGCUGCCCACCAACCUGUAUUGUGCAUUUACAUCUUGGUUGCUCUUACCUUUUUUUAAAUGAUGUUUAAAUAAGAAAUACUUAUUGCUUCUAUGCUGCGAAGUAGUAACCUGUUUAGAUAUAAGAGUGUGUUGAUCGGAAUCAGGAAGUGAUGCUCACCAAUCUGUAUUGUCCAUUUCAUCUUGGUUGCUCUUACCUGGGUAGCUUAUUAGUUAUUUGUGACCCAACAAUGAAGAUAUUACUUGUGCUGCUUUUUCAAGUGCUGUUGCUGAUUCCUUGUGAAUUCAAUUGCAGUAUACCAUAACAAUGCUCCUAGAAGAGAUGGCCUCGAUUUUGAUCACCCCUUACCUGUUAAUAUUUGUGGUGCCGAAGGUAAUGUUUUCAGCUAUAUGUUUUUGACCCCUUGCGUCUAAUUUUGUUCUGCAGUUAUUCAGUUUGUAUCCAUGUGCAGCGCGUUGAUGAUAUCCUGCUCUUCAUUUCGGACUUCACAGUUUACGUAGAUGGAGUGGGAGAUGUAUGCAGGUCUGUUCCUGUCAUCCAAAUUUCAAUAUCAUUGCUGCUCUGUUUGCUUUUUGUAACAUCGUCAUUGCUGUUUGACAUCUCAAUAGCUUAAGUUUGUUCGACUUCAGAAGUCAUGGCAAUAGAAGCUAUGGUUCACCAGUUGAUGCAGUUAAAAGCAUGAGGAGCUCCCAAGGGAAAAUGGAGAAAUCAUUAGUGAGGUACCCUUCACUGCAACACGUAGUAGAUCUCAUAGUACUCGUGCUUGUGCUAAAAUUUUGGUGCUGUGGACAUUUAGAAUGUCCUUGAUCGUAUAUGAUAUAAGUGUGCCCCUUGUCAUUGUACCUAUGCAGUUGUGCACUUCCUAUCAUGAGACCCUCAUCUGACUUGGCUUCUCAAAAAAAGCCUAUUAAAUGCUUUCACCUUUGGCAUUAUGCAUUUACACAGUUUCUUGCUGGACUGGGUGGUUUAUUUUGUGCUCAAGAACUGUAUACCUUGUCAUCCGCCCUUCAGUUUUGUUUGGUCAGAAACUAGGUCCUUAAACUUUGUAACUACCGUCAUAGAAUUCUCUUGGUAUUAUGAAUAUAUAUUUUCUGUCACAAUUUCUAUCUGAAUAAUAUUAGUUUAGUUCAUGAAAUCCUAGUGUAAAAAAAAUGAAGAUGGUCAAGAAGACAAUUAAUCUGAUAGGGUGUUUUUUUUUUUUGCCAAAAUACAACUUGCCAGAUAAACGUAGGGACCUAAAAAACAUAGCGAAUGGUUUAUACGCAAAUGUACAAACUGGUCUGAACUCCACGUGGCGCUGACGUGGCUAAUUUCGGACUAAUCCGACCAAAAGUGCAUCCGCAAGUUAAGUUCUUGUACCACCUGGCCCCAUUUUGCAAGUUGUUGUACUACUAAUAAACUGCUGGCGCGAUACAAGUUCUUGUACCCCCAAUGUUAUUACCUCAAUUACCGAUAAUUUUCUUACUGAUGCUUCUUUAACUGUUGGGAUUCCAUAUGUUUCAAUGUAAGAUUUUAUUUCAUUCACACUCCACCAGACAAAACUUGCAUUGGAAAUCCUUUUACAAAAGAAAUGUUGCAAAGGUAAGUAAAUUAAGUUUGGUGUUGGUUAGAUUGACAAAAUUGUGUUGAUUCAUUAUUUGCAGUUUCCAAAGCACCUAUAUCUCAUGGGAGCCAAAUACUGAUAGCAAGAAAUUCUUGUGCAACCUCCAGAAAUUCAAGGAAACGCAAAUUCGUGAGCAUACCUUUCAAGCAGUGGAAGCAUCACAAGAUGGGUUAAGUACUAGAGGUCAAAGUGCUCAAAUUUUCCAUAGACUGCUCCCCAGGAAUAUCCAGCCCAGCAAUGGAAUUAUAUAUGACAGCCCGCUAGGACUGCUUGAUACAGAUCGAAGAGCUUGUCCAUAUAUCCUGGAUUGGUAUUACACACAUCACCUGCCACACUCGGAUACAGAAGACAAUGCAACUCGCCACCCUGAUGAAUCAUCACCUGAUCCUGGGGAGGAUUUAUGGCCACCACAGAGCAAACCAUUGACAGAAAUCGAAGAGGAGGAUCCCUGGGAUUCUGAUUUGUAUGAAAGAGCUCGAAGCUACUUGGAGGCAUCAACAUCGAGUGCAUUGUUUCAAUGUGCCGCCUUCAAGCGCCAGGGCAAGGAGCAAAACUACACGAGCCGUCAGUGGUGGGCUCAGUCAUCUGCACGGUCGGUUGAUCUGCUUGAUAGUUUUCUUGAGCCUCCGGGAGGGAGUUUUCUUGAACCGGCACAUUUUAGAAAUAAUUAUGAUUCUGGCCAUUAUUCCAGUCAUCACAGUGACAGGCCGCUGACCUCUUCACAACCAACAAGUCCACAAGGCAGUUUCCUUGAGCCCCCAAACUUCGGAAACUAUUACACGUCUAGCCAUCAUUUAAGCCAUCACAGCGAAGACCUGCCGUCAGGGACAACCAGUGUACAACUAGACGAGAGCAACACCAGAGGCAGCAGUAGUUGGAGAAGUCCCCAGGCCCUGUUGAAGACCAGAUACAUGGAUGAUGACUUUGACAUGGAGCAAGGACUUAGUUUCAAUUUUGCUGAUGUGCCUCGGAUGGAUGACAGCGAAGCUGAAGAUCAGGACAAUGGCGGUCUCAGCGCCGCCAAUAUUCAUAACCCUAUGUCAGCCAGCCUCACCGUACGGAUAAUACCUAGAAGCAGUGAUCCUGUUUAGUCUGAAGAAAAAAAAUACUUAAAACAAGAAAAAGAUAGUAAUAUUUGUGACAUGGUUAAUGUUUAGAAUUACUUUGGGAAGAAAGGAAGGACGUCAGUUUACUCUGAUUCAGUCGAGUCUGACAAAUUGUUUUUUUAUACAUGAAUUACUUUGCUGAUGUUCCCUGUUUAGGAUAGGGAAAGGCCAUUCUUUUGCGACCUGAAUUGCAGAAGAAUGGAUUGAGUGGAAAAGAGUAAACAAUCUUAUAUGAACAUAAUAUUUGGACAUCAAGUUUUUACUCAACCAGAAAUGAAGAUACCACCUUUUUUUUAUUACAAAAGUAAUUUGUGUUCUAUCAUUGCCAAACCAAAAGCAAAAAAGAGCACAUGAAACUAACUUUUAGGUGCUUGCCUGCAAAUUGCUGUGCUGCUGAGCUCCUUGCCAAACCCUCCUCCUGCUCCAUCUUCUAAGAAGCCAUGGAAACAGCAGAUGAUUAGAGCCUCCUGCUUCAUCUGCAACCCAAUCCUCAGGUAUUCUCUCAUCUGUUUUUUCUCUCAUGUCUUAUGACUGCAUCAUAAUUCAUAUGGGAGGGGCAAAGUGAGCAUGGGUAUGAUGUAGAAUAAAAUCAUCAGAUUAAUCAGUUUGCACAUGUAUGAAGAACACAAGCAAUUCACUUUUUGAUGCUCCAUUGGGAUUUUAUGGCUUCAAAAUUUCAAACUGGCUAAUUGUGAAUUAUUGCUUAUGUGCAUAGGGGCAUAUAUUCCAUUUUUUUACGAACCGUUGCAAAUCAUCACAAGACUUCCAAUUUCGAAAUUUUCCAUAACAUUAUACAAAAGUAGUACUAGAUGUAUGAUUCUACUGGUUUUGAACACCUUGCAGGACAAGUUACACUAUUGUGCACCUUGCAAGUGCAGGUUGCUUGACUGAUAGGUUGUAUUUUGUUUCAAAAGAUCUAUCUAAAUUUCAGAACGGAACUAACAAAUGAGAGCGUUCAAGAUGGCAAAUUUAUGUGUGACUACUUCUCACAGGACCUCAGUAAAUUACAGAAGUUUCUUUAUGACUAAUUAUAGCUGUAAAACUCUAUUGUAUCACUUUGAUUGCUUAUUUGUACAGGUCUUAAAUCAUAGUAGUAGUUGUUCACUCGGCAGGAGUGUAUGAACUAGCUGUGAGUAGUAGUAUCUGUUUCUUGCUCUCCAACUAUUGCUGCAUUAGAGAGGCCUCUGCUUCAUUACCUACCAUAUAUACCCUAUUUGAUUCAUGAAAUAAAUAAACUAGGUGUAAUUUGGGGGUAUGAGAAUCCUCAGGAAUAUAUACAACUUUGAUUUGCAAAGCAGAAAGUAAUAUAAGGUGCCCUCUUCAAGGUGAAAAAAAAACACUACAAUCUAUAUCACGUGUUAAUUAACAGAGUUUUGUUUUUUACCAUGGAGGAUGUGGAUUCACAUUGCACUCAUGGAACAGUUGACAUUAAAAAGUAACCUGCUCUUAAAAGAAGCACAGGGAACUGGAGAGCAUGCUUUAUUGUGAUUUGUAAGGACUGCAGAAAGAAACAAGUUCAAAGAAAAUGCACAUCAUUUUUUUGUGAGUUUAAACAAUGGUCAACAUUCCAUUGUUUGGCCUGCAUUAGGAAUCAAAUUCAGUGAAUGCUUGGCCUUCUUUGCUAUCUCAAAGAACUUGCUCGCCUACCUUACCAGGAUGCUCCAUGAAAGCAAUGGCGAUGCCGCGAGAAAUGUGUCUACCAGGAUUGGCACCAGAUUCUUCACACCACUUGUCAGAUCUUUCUUGGCAGACAUAUCUUGGGGAAGAUUCAAGACAAUAGUGAUCUACCUCUCGGUUUACACCGUCGUAAGUAAAAACUCUGAGGCUGAUUUAAGAUAUGUGCAUCAUGUGCGGCCUACAUUUCUGAAUAAUUUGAUUUUUGCUAGGGGAUGCUUGUGAUGAAGGUUCUGGCAUCACGUCCGGCAAUGCUGCAAUCUUCCAACCAUGGUGAGAUCCAUUGUGUCGUCGUCUGCCCAGAACUUUAUCUUACAGCCCUUGGCAAUGUUGGCAUCAAGCUCUGCACUUCAUCUGGGUGUCCUUCAACUGGGUACUAUUUCUUGACAACGUUGGGGGUCGUCGUGAUUCUGAUGUUCCUCAUGAGCCUCAGUUUCACGGCGCUUUUCACUGGUUUUGGUUGUACAGAUACAAGAAAAUAUGCGAGUCUUGUAAGUGCUCCAGAUUGUUGUAGCCGUGAGGAAUUUGCCAUCUGAAGUUGCCUAACGAUAGUCAGCUCAGCGUCAGCUGUCUUCAACAUCAGAACCAAGGACGCUGCUUGGGUGACGUAGGGCGCACUCACUGACGCAGGAUCCCAGAAGCAACUACUAAGGUUGAGCAUAGCACUAAAUUCGGGUACUGAAAUUUCUUCAGAAAAUGCCAACUUUGAGAAUUUGUUUACACUAGUGUGGUGCACAUGCAUUGCUACAGAAACCACAAAGAAAAUAGUAAAGGACGUAAUGUGCCAAAUGAGUGCAUUUGUUUUGGUUCGAUUGUACACAACAAAUAAUCACAUCUUCCAUAAACCACAUACUUCCCCCGUUCCGGUUUUAUUGGUCCGAUCUCUCAGAUCGGGGUAAUCAAGGCAGAAUCCACACCUCAAACGUUAACUGCUGGUGGUCAGAUCUCUCAUAUCGGGGUAAUCAAGGCAGAAACCACCUCAAACGUCAUUAACUGAUGGCUUAAGAGAAAAAUCGCAAAAAACUCUACCGAAGGAGUAUCGUUCCAAUUUUAUCGGCUGUCCCAAAGGGACUACAGAAGGAGUAGUUGUUAGUUUUUUUUAAAAAAAAGGAGUAGUUGUUCCAACUACCCAAGAAUUAAUGGCCCAGCAAAUGAAAGAGCUUCUGCACAGCUCUUCGUACGUGGGACAGUGGGAGAGUAAAGCGUUUGGAUCUAAGGCAAUAGCUAACGUAGCCUCGCCGGGCAAGGACAGACAGACCUUUGGUAUGGACAUAUCAAUCUAGCUUUUAGUGGCAAGCUGGGAUAUAACCGCCGAUAAAUCCUUGCUCUCGAAGGAGAGCCGAUUUGGCUCGCUCGAGCGGGCAAAUGAACGAGCGCAGAAGAUGAACCGGUGUGUCCUGGAAUCGUGCACAUACACCAGCGAGGCAACUCCUUACCGUGCACCAGUUCCAUGCUUGUCCCUUAUAGCAGGAGCUCUCGAACUGGUUGCAAAUAGGCUAGACUUUAACUAACCUGGCAGGAGCUCUCGAAUAGGCUAGUUAAAUAAUGGGUGUUUUGUUGCCAAACCUCCAGGUGACGCCGACACCAUCUGCACCUAUGGUGUUUGCCAACCACCUGCCCACCUUCUUUUUUCUUAAUCUCAAUUAGCAGAUGGAUGGGUCCCACGUUCCUCUCCCCACUCUAAAGUAGAUCUUCUCUCACACGGGUCAUCCCCCCCCCCUCUCUCUCUCUCACCGGCCAUGGCUGUGGUUGACGUGGCCGGUGACUGACCCCGUGCCCCGUGUUCCCAUGGCUGGGCGUGAACUUCUUCCUCAAGGACGGCAUGGGCGCCUCCGCCGCCUCGCUGCAGAUCCUCCAGGCGUCUCCCAACCUUCCCAUGGUCGUCAAGCUGCUCCUCGGCCUCCUCUCCGACGUUGUUCCUGUCUGCGGCUACCGGCGGUUGCCCAUGGUCCCCUCGCCGACCAAGAUCAAGGGCGCCAGCAGUCAUCUCUCCUGCGAGCCGCCGCUCUUGCAGCCCCUCUCGGUCUCCAUCAUGUACCAUGUGAUUUUUUAUUUUUGAUCCAUCGUGUACCAUGAUUUUGUGCUAUGAUUUUGGAGUACCAUGUGAUUUUUUUUAUUUUGGAUCCAUCAUGUACCAUGAUUUUGUGUUGUUAUUUUGGAGUACCAUGUCAAUUUGUGGUUCCAUCUUUAAAAAUUAGUUGAGAAUGUAGUUAGUCACUAGGUAGUGAAUUUUUGUGCUGUGAUUUUUGAGUACCAUCAUGUACCUUGGGUACAUGCAUGACAACAUACUUAUAUUUUAUGAAUGUUUGUGUUGUGAUUUUAUAUUGGUACAUGAUGUACACUGUCUUGAUAUGUGAGGUACUUAAAAAUUGUUAAUGUACAUGUGAUGUAUCCAUACGUUGUAGUAGUCUUAGAAGAGAUACCAAAUUUUGACAGAUUUAUUUUUCUAAUACAUGUGAUGUACCACACCAUGUACUCGUCUCAUAAGUCCAUGUACACGACGUACUAUGUUUUAGGGAAUAAAAUUAGUACAUUUGUUUAUGUACCUUCAUUUGAUGUACAUGUACCUGACACACUAUACUAUGUACUUGGGAAUAAAAUUAGUACAAAGAAAACCAAGUGUGAGUGAAAAAGAAAAUAGGUACGUGACAUGGCCGACACAAACAAGAGAGAAUCAAAGUUUGAAUAAGUAGGAGAGAGAAAACGUCAUGGUCCCAUCCAAAAGCAUCUGUGUGCCUGACACCUCUCUUUUAAUCACCUAUCUCUAAUAUGGUGGAACCCAUGUCUUAGCAUGCCCAUGUGGAGGAAUGAGUGGCUACUAUGAUGGGUGCAGAUGCCGUCGGCGUCACCGUCUCGGUUUUAGUGUUUUGUUAGAGUUCUCACGAGUGAACAAGAGCAGAGGGUUAGACAGGGGGACGAGUGAACUCAUCGCCGACUCUAAAAUUUUGUAAGAUAAGAUUUGUACUGGCAGGCUUCAUCUCCAGAUUAUUUUUUCUAACAAGAAAGGUACAACGAGUGCGCGGGUGAGUCCAUGGAGACUGUACCUAGUGUGGGCUUGCUCACGCUCAUGGUCACCUUGCAGAGGUUUCAUCCAAAGAAAUCGCAAAUUCACACUAGAAGUCCCUAAAAUAGGACCCAUAAACAGCAUUUAGGGGGGAGCAAAUUUUACGGUCCAAAAAAAAUACAAACAUCAGCAAGGACAAUGGCCCAUAUUCCGCAGCCCCUAUAUUCUUUGAUGUAUGGGAUCCACUAGCUUGUUAGUGAUUUGCCUAAUUUUUUGCCCCCUUCUUCUCCCCAAAAUUCUCCACAGUAGGCACGGGGGCUCCUCACCGUUCUCCACCGCGCACUGGGCAAGGCGGCCGACCGGAGGCGGCGGCACGGGGCGGCGCGACACUUUGGGAUGGGCAUGGGCGGCGGAGGCUCGCGCGGAGUCUGUCGUGGUUCUCUCAGAUGUGCGCAGGCCCAGGCUCGUCCACUUUCGACCUCGAGCAAUCGCUGACGAGCCAGCGAAGAGCAGGGUGGAGGCCGUGGCCAAGGGCGGCGACAGUGGGAUUGGCCGCCGGUCACAGGAGAGGAGAAGUAAGGGCGCGAGGAGUAUCGUGAGGAGGAGGGGCCGACGAGAGGAAGAGGGGCAUGGGGAGGGAGAGAUGACGUGGCAGGGGAAUAGGGGAUGGGGGGGUGUGUGUGUGUCUUUCAGGGGCCUUGCUGAAAAUGUUGUUUUGACAUCGGCCCCUAAAAAUAGGAGGGGGGCCCUGUUUAGGGGCUCACCCGUCAAACAGCGCGCGUGGACACUAUUGUGUAACAUUCCAAAUUUCAAAACUCUUCAUAUGCAUUGCAUAUCAUAAGCAUCAUAUUUUCCUUGCAUUUAAUCACAUUUGAAAACCCUAAAGUUUACCCUGAGAAUCCCUGUUCAAAAGUGUUUUUAUUUGAUUUUGGGCUUUGAUCUUACUUUCAAGCAUUUGUGUUUUAACCCAUGAAAGCUUUGGUAUAAAAAGGGAGUUAAUGCAUGUAUAAAGCUAUCCCAUAAGUUUGCUUUUGAAAUUUUUUGAAAUAAUUUAUUUUGAUAGCCUAAAACGCCCUAUAAGCCAUUUUAUAGGAAAAUGUAUUUUUAAAUAUUUUAUUUUGAGGAAAUUCUUGUUCCAAAAGUUGGAUCACAGGAAAAUAUGAUUUUACAAAUUUUUUUGCAAUUUAUUUGGAGUGAUUUGGAGUUUUGAAUCAAUUUUGAGGUUCAAAAACAGAAAAUAGAAAAAGAGAAAAGAAAAACCGAGCCGAACCGGCCGAACCGGACCGAACUGGACCGGCCCAGCCCGAGCCGCCCGGACUCUCUCACUGACCGGUGGGCCCCGCCAUCGUCUUCAACCUCCAACUGCCGUCCGGAUUCCACGGCCACGCACGCCCCGAACCGCCCAUGAUUCCUCUCCGAUUCCUCCGCGCACACAACCCCAUCUCCGAAGCCGUUCGCGUCAGUUUGAAGCCCUCGAUCUCCUCUCUCUUUCCCCCAAACUCCCUUGCCCGAUUGCGCUCGCUCCUCGCCAAAAUUCCUCGCCGAAAAUCGUUGCUGCCGCCGCCAUCUUCGCGCUACCGCCGCCGCUCCGGUGAGAGUUCCGCGUCGCCAACCCCCUCCCGUCCUCCUCUCACUCUCCCGCAUCUUGUGACGCGUUUUUUUUCGUCUUUGGACCACCGCAGUUCGUUGCUGCCGCUCACCCGAGCUCCGCCGCCGGCCGCCGCUCUCCGCUCGUCCUAGGCGGCGUCCGUGGUCCCUGAGCCGAACCGCCGCCGCUCCCGGAACCGCCUUCCCGAGCCGCGUCCGCCCCGCCUGUCCCCGAGCUCCACCGCUGCCGCCCGACCGCCGACCGCCGCCUCCUCUUCCGUCUCCGGCCGCCGCGCCCGGUAAACCCCUCCCCUUCUAAUCUAGGCCGUAGAUGCUCAAUCCGACGGCCACAAAUGAAACCCUAGUUUGAAGCGGUACCGACCAACCACGAAUUGCCACGUGUCCCGUAUAAUUUUAAUCUUUUCUCGGCCGAUUUAAAAUUGUAAAUUUUGCAGAAAGCCCCUGUAACUUCAAAGCAUCAUAACUUUUAAACUGCUUGUCCAAAAAUUGUGAUCCGCACCUUUCUGAAAUCGUCACAACUUGUAGAAUACUUUGGCAUAGUCCAAUUUCAAUUUUGAACAACUUUGCCAGAAGCAAAUUACAGAUUGGUUGAAUAUGGUUUAAAUUUCAAAUGAAUUAUUUCAAAAUAGUUUUGAGCAUGUUAGCUUGCUGUAAAAUUAUUUUAGUAUGUUCUUGUCCAUUAGGACCAGAGGAGAAUUUUUUUUUAUGAAUGGCAUGACCGUGCAAGUUUAAAUCUUGUUCUAUGUUUUGCAAAAACCAUAUAAUCUUUUAAUUGAAGCCUAUCCUUGUUUCAUGCAUAUUAAUUACCUCUUUGAUGUUGUAUAAUCUGUCCAAAUCAUUUGAAAAACUUUUCAAAACAGAAAAAGAACUUGUUACAUUAGAAGUAACCAAGUGUGCAUCAUCAUGGCAUAUGCAUCAUAGCAUGAUUUUGUAUUGAAUGUUGUGUUUAUUAUGUAUAUGCUUUUUUUUAUUUUAAAUUGUGUGGAGUGUAAUCCCUGUUGUUGCGAGGAGUGUGAUAACCACUACAACUCUGGACAAGGCAAGUUCACUUUAAUCAUUCUCCUAAAUAUUUUUACUAUGCACUAGUUGUUUUGUUAGUUGCAUUAAGAUUAUUACUCGUACCUCUAUGGUAGCUAUAAAUCUCAGGUAGUAUAGUUUUACCCUUGCCGUUACCUUGCUACCAAAAUUGCCAUAGAUUGUAGUUGAAUGCUAGGCUAUGGUAGUAUUGUGGAGAAAAUUACUACAUUAUGUUAUUGUCAUGCCUUUGGCGAUAUGAAAUAUUUUGUUAGAUUAAGGCAAAACAAUUAAUUCAAUGAACCGUCCUGGGUGGGCUGCUUUGAGGAUUUUGAGGAUUAGCGGCGUCAGGUCCAUUUCUAUGGGUCCCUCUGAGUUGAGUUCCCGUAGAUUCGGGAAUGGAUCGUCCAUAGACGUCUCUUCCGUGGAUUCGGGGAGCGCCUACGUUGCAAAUGUGGAAUGCCACCUGGGGUAACCGAGACUGGACUAAUUUCCUAUUUAGCAGCUUCUAAUACAACCACAAUGCUAUAUGGGCUCUGGCGAGACAAGAGUAUGUUGUAUGAACCUAGACCCGAGAAAUUGUACUGAGGUAGCCGUGUAGGGGGAGCGUGAUUCUCUCGUGGUUUAGGGAAUUACCUCUGAAAAUCUCGUAAUAGAUGCCGUUGCUACUCUACCCUGAGGACAGUAAGGGAUUAACACGUCGGUUUCUUGUGGGGAAUGUGUACAAACUCUUGAGAGCGUCAAAACUAAGUACUUAGCCGUGUCCCCGGCAAUGGACAAUUUGAGCAACUAGAUGUGGAGCUGUAAGAAAAGUCUCACUCAUUCUAAUUUCCAAAUAAAAUGAAUGGUUUGAACUUGGGUUUAGGAGCAUUAAUGUGUCUACUCAAUGUCCUUAGUUUAAUAGGAGCAUGGGUGUGUCUACCCCCAUGUCCAAUAGUGAUAAAAUUUUAUUUGAUUUAAAAGAUAGGAUUAAAUAACUAAGCUUUUAUGCAAAUAGCCUUGAACCCCACUUUGCCAUAUUAUACAUAUAUUUGGUAGGUUCUGAUAUAAUUUCUGGUGAAUCUUGCCAAUACAAUGUAUUGACCCUAGUGGCUGCAUCGUUUAAUGAUGCAGGAAGCUCCGACGACGAGUAAUUUGUACGUUCUGCUUGCAUUGGGUUACGGGCCUACAUUCCAACACGCUCUCACCGUGGUGUUGAUGUGCCCUCGUAUCUUUCGCUUUCCGUUGCUAAACAGUUGUUUUAUUUCCAGCUAACCCGUGGGAUUAUGCAAGUUGUAAGUACUUUUAAAUUCUGGAUGAUACGUUGUAAUAUUGAGACCUUUGUUCUAUGAUAUUACAUCUUGAAACUAUGUGUGCUAGUUAGUCGAUUCAGGGACUAGCACUAAAGCACAGAGAUCGAACCCGUGUACGCGGACGGUCGUUUCAUAUUGUUGCGGUGGACAAGGCCUUCGCGGGAGCUGCUUAUCGAGGAGCCCCUAUAUCUUGAAAAGUAGGUAGGCUAGGUGUUGAUGUUGUUCUUGGUACAUAUCGCCCCCACUCCAAACCCUCCUAUUCGUUGUUGCCCACCUCCCACCCGCACAAACACAUCAUCCUUGAUCAUGCGUCGUCUUCGUGGACUACCUUGCCACUGUCUUCUUCCCUAACCAGUUGCUAGGCUGCAGGAUGGUAAGAGGAGAGGUCCAGGAGGUUCAAUGCAAAAUUCAUGAGCCUCACUUUGCUAAAGAAAAAAAGGGAGUCGUCGUGCUAGCCAAGUCAGCAGUCACCUGGAAGAUUAGAGCUCUAAAACGUAAUUGGAUCCAAUAUGUUCCCACCUGCUAGGUUUACGAGGGCAAGCAUGAUCUAUGAGUUUUUGUGGACUAAAUUGUUCUCACCUACCAAGUUAAGCGAUCUUUGAUGCAAUUUUCACCUUCCAAUCCAGUGGCUUCAAUCGCCAGUUUCAACAUGAUCGUGUGUUUUGAAAAUAAGUUUAUUUUAGCAGGUUAUUUUUGCCAAAGGAACUCUUGGGCACAAUAAGCCGUUGUUUAAUUUAUUUUAGACGAGAGAGGGGUAAAACAGGAAGUUAUCGGCUAGCAGCCAUGUUACGACGCGGAUGGACCACACCGCAUGAGAGGCUUUUUCCUUUAGGAACGAUCCAUCUCCAUACACGGCAAAAGCUGUCCCUCGGCGUACUCAUGCAGCUCAUGCACACAACCAACAAACUCCCUCGUUGAUCGAAACCCGCAACCUCACCACAUAAAUCCAACAGAAUCAAGCAAAUGCAUUCUCAUGCUCAUUUUAUCUGUUUCCAAAGGGGAGGGGAGAGGGAGAGAAGACGAGAGAACAUGGUUCUGAGGUGUAGGAGAACAUGAUGCUCACUUAGGAAACAAUUUAGGUUGUUGAGAAGACUCUUUCGUGGUCGUCCGCCUCGGUUUUUGGCUGAAACCGCACACACAUGCGCCAUCCCUCCCCCUCCUUUUGUCUCUGCCAACCCCACCCUAUCCCUCUCUUUUCUCUCGAUCUCUCCCCUUAAGCCUUCUCCUAGACAACGACGUCCUCCUCCUCCCCACACGCCGCCGCACACUCUCACUCACUCUCUCCCCCCACGUGUCAGCAUGACCUGUUGUUCUUUCUGAGAUCCCACGGAAGGCCGCCGCCCUUCUCCACGCCAUCGCCGUCCUCCCCCACACCACUACGCUGGAUCCCGCACUGCCUGGCCUCCCUAUGACCGGAUCCCACCUCACGUUGGUCUCUGCGCGCUGCCGUCAGUGCUCGUCGCGGAGAAAGUAUCCUAUGAAAGCCGUUCUUAGAUGAAAACGUGCAAACCAAAAUCAAGGCCGUUGGAUGAAAGACGUGUGGCCUAAGAUAAGCAUUGGCAACUUUUUAUUUAGGCCCAUAAGUUUGUUUCAAAUCAACCCGCAGUCCAACUUCCUACAUUUUGCAUUGGAUUUGUUUUAAGAAUAAUCUGAGAUACCAUUAUCCCCACAAACCGAAAUAAAUGGCACUUGUCAGUCGUCACGACGGCAGAGCAUGUUACAUGCUGUAAAAAAAACAGUUGAUUCUAGGCAGACAGAGAAAGGAAAUGCCACUUUCUUUAAGCAAUUACGAACAUCUCAUCAGCAAUCACCAAGUUCACUCAGCAGCAUUUGUACCCAGAAAAUAGGAUAAAAUUAUGCCCAGUUUGAUGAACAGAAAACAGUAGAAGAAAACUGAUUUUUGAAGGCCGAGACUACAGGAAACAGGAAAUCAACGUGAUUCAAGAGUGGAACACAAUUUUACAAGGUCUGGGGAACAGAUAAAAAAUAAUCUAAUGUGAGGGCAGAACUCUGAUUUCUACGAGGCUGGAUGACACUGAAAAAACUCCGAUUCACCGGAUGGAAAGUUGCACCAAGUACUUCCCAUUGAUGAUUUAUACUCCAUUUGCAAGCUGCUAAGAUAAUUUCAUAUUCAAAUUGACUGACUUCAACACUUUAUUAUGUUUUCUGAGAAAAAAAAAUUACAAUGGAGUGACAGGUUCUGUUGAGAUGGGGAAUAAAUUGGAUGUAUCUGUUUGUACACAGAAACAUAAGGAUCCUGCAGAGAGAGAACAUCCAUCAGACAAGAUUGCCAAUUGCUAACUAAGAAUAUAUGCUAGCAAAUGUUUGGACGUGGGAAUUUCUGUCUCCUGUUUAGUUCAAAUUUGAACCAUGGGUAAAAAUAACCCUAUCUAUUUUUUUGGUCAGGACCAAACCCUUCACCCACUCUAGUUCACUUUUGUUUUGAACACUGGCAAAAAUACAGACAAGUAUAACCUUGUCCAAAAUGGCUAGCCAAUUUUUUUGUAGGGUUGACUUGGGCUAAACUAGAUAGUACAAAGAUUUCCAUAGAAAUACAUCUCAUCCAAAUAGCAGAUGCCCUCCCUGCGGAAACAAAACAAAACCCAGUAAAAAAAUGAAACAUAAACUGCAACGUGCAGGGAAAAACUCCUAAUAGAAGAACUAUAUGCCAUCCAUGGAAGAAAACAGAGAAACCCCUCUUCAAAGCCCCACACGCUUAGAAAGAAAGGCCACAUAUGCACAUGUGGACAGAAGAAACAAAUAACCCUUCCCUGCUACAUAAACGAAGUCCAGGGUCACCCAGAAUGUGUAUCUGAUGAUAGCUCUUGUCAAUAUCCUUUUGCAGAUGGAUAUAUUCUUCGUGCACAUACACAUGUAAAAAAUAACUUUAUGACAAGAAAAUUAACAAGAUGAAAAAAAAGCUGCAAAGUUUAACAAGGACAGCCAAUAGAAGGGUCUGAACAUGAAUACACUAGGCUAAUUUAAGUAGUUAGUCAUCAUUCUUACCUUCAAUUAUCAGUCUUCAUCUGGAUCUUCUGGACGCUGUAAAUAGAUAAGGUCAAAUGAGCAGGAUUUUCUGCAAGCUAUUGAAAAACUGAAAAUAUAUAGGCUUCGUCAUUCCAAUCACAGAUUCAAUAAGACGUUCAGUUUUAAAUCAACGUAGCAUUCAAUGAAAUUUCGAGAACACUGUCUGGUACAUCCCAGCGAAUAACACAAACAAAAAUCAAGAGAAAAACAAUUUGCAUGCACACCCCAACUAGAGCAAAAUUCAAAUAAUAAAACCCUAUGGGUGAGGCUAUCAAGAAAGAAAGAAUGAAAGAAGAGACCACAAUGCUGCUGUCUUCGACAACACUCCCCCCAACAUCGCUUCCCUCCUCGACCUGAUAAAGGCGGAGGCUCGGCAGUGGUCUAGGGCAGGAGCAGUGGGCCUGGGGACGCUGCUGCCGCUGGAUCCUAGUUAGGCGCGUCGUGUUGUAAUCGGGUGUGGUCCGUGACCUUGUACAUAACCUUUUCUUUCUAUCUAUGCAUCGAGACGCAAAGCUUUUGGGUUUUCUCGGAAAAAAAAGAAGAGAUAAUGUAGACUGAUUUUUUUUCAGUUGUGUUUUUGUCUGUUUUUGAUUUUGUGGCUUUAAAAAAAUCAAAUACUGGAUGUUGACCUGCAACAGCAAUAGACCAUCUGUUUUUAACAAGGGUUGGCAACCCACUAAGAGGAAAUGUCCUUUGCAAUUUGGAUCUCAGAAGCUUAACUAAGUGUGGAAAAUUAGCCAUUAACUAAAUGUAUGGGGUCCUUGGUCCUGUACUAGCAAUAUUCUAUAAUGAUAUCAAUCCCAAAACAAAAGACUAGUCGUGAUGCUAAUCUUUUCCAGAGUCGAAUUGGGAUAAAGGCAUCCCAUUAGUACAAGAGACAAAAGACUAGCGGUGCAAAGACGGAGCAUCAAUGAUGCAAUGGACAAAGGACGAGACAAGUUCCAUCCAAACAGGUUUGAUAAUAAUGCUACAUGAACUGAAACAGGAGUUGAAACAUUCGCUGUGGACCUUCAAUGUAGCUCAAGGAUGAAAUGAUAUUUGCAUAUUUUUAUGUAAGAGGUUGGAUUUUGUACAUGCACAUGUACACAUGAGCUAUCAUGUCCACUCAGGUGCGUACAUGUGAUUUUAGAUCCGUACUGUCCAAACCCACUAUCCCCCUGAUGUGGCUCUUUUUUUUCGCGGAUACCCCGAUGUGGCUCUUUCCAUCUCCCUCUCUUCAAGCUCUGGCAAACCCUUCACAAACGGUACUCUCUCUCUGUCUCUUCUUCCUGCACUCAGGUAAGAACCACUUCACGCACAUCCUCCCCUUUCCAUGGCCCCUCAUGUUCUAGAUCGAUCUGGCAUCCAUUUCCGUCAAGGUUGAUGUGAUAUCUUUCUAGCUUAAUUGGCAGCUCAUCAUCGAGGCUGUCGCAACUACUGUCUUCGUCCACCAGGACUGCUAGCUAGUUCGUCGGCUGUUCCUGCAUUUCAUUUUGUUUUCUUCUCCUCAAUGCUCUCAGUUUUGUUUAUGUGUUGGUGUUCAUAGAUAGCAGAGGAGGCCGCUCCUGGCGGCUGGUGCAGUCACCCAUGGAGAGUUGUCACCACCAUCUGCUCGGCAUCAACAUCUGGGGCGGGUACAUGUCCUAGCUGCUGUCUGGCCACCCAGCAGUGCCACGGAGUUAACCUAACCAAAGUUCGAGCUGACUCUGCCACAGGUGGAAGACAAUGCAUUCAUUGUGGCCAUCACCAGAGUUCCGACCAGGAGCCCGCCAGUCCAAGAGAGAAGGUAUGUGCAGAAUCUGCCACAGGAAAAUAGCGCGAAAAGUUCAUAACUCGAUUAAUUCAAUUCACCAUGUUUUUUGCUCCACUAGAUCCAGAGGACUAAUAGAUUCCGCGGGGAGCAGAGAGGCCGGUCGCAAGAGCAGGCUGCACAAGAACUACCUCAAUGUGUUCUUGCUCAAUUCCCGAUUGAUCUAUCUCGCUGUGUUGGUGAGGCGAAGAGCAAAUCAGUUAAUUCAGCUUAUUGCUGACAAAGUCAUUGGUGCAGUGUGCAAGCGAGGUGAAGCACCCAGUGAUGAAAAUUGAGUUCUGCAGUGAUUUCGGAGUGCUCCAGCCCAACAAGUUUGAGAUCCAUGGUUCUAUGCUCACUGCUCUGCACCAGAAAAGCAUGAGUGACAUGCUAUGUAUAUCGCAGUAUUGCAGCACUGUACAAAGAUUAAUAUGGUAUGUGUUGUUAAUUACUUUGUUUUUUCAUUGCAGUUGGAUCCCCAUGCUGGGAAGAGCUUUUGAUCACCAAGCACUCGCCUCUUAAUGCUGACCACUCUUGAAUCGCUUGUGAAGUGCAGUGUCAAGCUGCAGUCAAUGCUCAUUCCUCAUCAGAAUCUCGCAGAUGAAGAAUUGCCAUGAUGUUGCUAAUUGAAUUAAUUUGAUGUGUGAUUUGUUCUUCAAACUAAUAUGAUCAAGCAGAUCAUUCUUGUUACCGUGUUCCCUGAUUCCAAUUGUUGUCAUUAUUGGAUGAAGAUAUGUUGUUUACUUGAUAUUCAUGUAGUUGAUAAUUUGAUAACUAGAGCUUGUUGUUGAAACAAUUUUGAUUGGGUGCCUGAGGACGUUUUCUUUUUCAUGCUAUAUACCCUGAUUUAAAUUAUCGGCAUUCUUCACUCAAUGGAUGGAAUGAUGGAUGUGCCAGGCCUACAUCCUGAACCUGGAGGCAGAUGGAGUUGGUGCACAUGCACCAGGAGCUCACCCUGGCCAGGCAACAGCAGCAGUAGCCCUGUUGGUGGUUAGUCUACUUACUACAAGCAUCCUUUGAUCCAGGCCGAAUUGUCCUGGGAUCGAUUAAUUGCAGGCGCUUGAUGUUAAGACUGAGCUCAAGGUUGUAAUGGCAAAAUUAUUGAUAUGACUUUCUCUUAAUUGUUUCUUGGCAUUGGCAGGUGUGGCGGCAUUCAAGAUGGAGUCCGUGCGGUGGGUGUGGGGAGGGGGCAGGCGAGCUGCGGGCAGCGCUGCAGCACACUCACGUGCCACCCCACCUCCGAGCGCCUGCAGACGCCAAGUUGGAGCAUUAUGACCCGCUGUUCCGCGCCAAGUCAUGCCGCCGUCAAGCACGACGUCUUGUCCAUCAUGUGCGAGGAGCGUUUCUUCCUCUGGAUUGCUGGUUUCCACCCCUCUGACCUCCUCACUGUCCUGACACUGCAGCUGGAGCUCGAGCCACAGUCACUGGCAGAGGAGCAGGCCGAGGCAGUGAGCUAGCCCCAGCGAACGUCAUGGCAAGCAGAGGACACGCUCGCGCAUGCCCCAGAGAGUGCCCAACAGUCGUGCGCGCAUGGCCUGGAGAGGCUCCAAGAGUCGCUCGCGAGUCCCUGUUGCAGUCAUUUCGACUGGUGGCGAUGGAGACGUGAGAAGAAGGCUUAGUUUUCGAGAUGGAGGUGCGGUGGAUGGUGUGGAAGCUGGAGGAGCUGACCAGGUUCAUGGAGCAGGCAGACCACUGCUGGCUGCGGAACAUCUACAAGAUCUUGGACAUCACUGUACAGAAAAUGAGCAGAGUGAAGAUGUUGGAGGAGGGUGGCAACAUGUACCACCAGGAGCGCAGGUUUAAGGGUGCGAGAACGGUGGCCAUGAGUGAGGGGGUGAGAGAGAGAGACAGUGGAGAAUACAAUGGAGUCAGGGGAGACGAUAGAGUAGUGCAAACAGGAUGGUUUAACCCCCUAGCUACAGAGGUGCUGCCUGUCUCUAUCUCUAGACAAUCCCAUCAAGUACCUAUUCAGAAAAUAGAAAGUAAAUAAAGAAAGCUGCUGGCCAUUUCCCGCACUUUUGUGAAUCCUAAAGCACAUGUGCAUACAUGAACAGCCAGGAUAUCUCAUGUGUGUAAUAUGCAUGCACCAAUGCUUUUCCCUUUAUGUCAAUGUGAGUAAUGCGACAGUUAUUUCAACGUCAAGAGAAAAAACUAACCAGAAGCUAGGAAGUAACUAUAUCAUGGUACCUUUUAGGCUACUGACAGCUAGAAAAAUACAUUUGGGCUAGCCAACAACCCAGAUGCUCCAAAGAUAAACUUGUUCGGCGAAUAAGAAUGUCAUACCGGUAGGAAGUUCCAAUCUUCCUCUCCCAAAUCAAAUUUUUCAGUAGUUUCUUCAUCAAACAGUAACUGAACCAGAACAAACAACAUAAGCAGUUACUCAUUGGAUAACAUGAAAAAUCAUCUAUUGACAAACUCACAGUAUGCAUUGCAGUGUACUCAUCAUAGUCAUAUAUAACUGCUGGGACAUACCUGAAAGGAACAAUGCUGUGAGAGACAAGGGGUAAAAUGGAUCACAAACUGAGGACAACAAAUAAAGGACAUCUAACUCCAUGAUCAAAUUUGAGGUCGUCAAGGCAUACAUUUUGUCCCGUCGAUCCCACAAACGGAUAAUCUCCCCAAUACAAUUAUCCGAGGUUAUCUUUCUUUUUUUCACAAUAUGCUGAUCUUGUGAGCUUCCUGAGUUGCCAUUGUGAAGAAUAAUUGAGUUGACCGACUUAGAGGUGCCAACCAUUUUUCUGCAUUUUGAAGAUCCACAGUGGCAAUCUUGAUCUGCUCCAAACUGGACAAAUCUAUAGAUAGGGACAAGAGAUAAGAAACAUCAUAACAGUUCCAUAUAUACACAAUGCAAUAAAUCAAGGUGGGUCAAAUAACUUUAUUCAUAAUGAAAAAAAAACUUAUAAACCAGGAAACUGGAUGAACAUACUUAUAGUCAUAGGUUAGCUCCUCUCCUUUCUUUAUGUCACGAAGAGCAAAAAUUCCUACUCUGGUCUCUCCAUCUACAGUCCUGAAACGACAUGAGGCUUAUAUCAGGGACAUCAACAUAGAUUUCAGGAGUAGGGCAUGCAUAGAACAACCAGUACAACAUAACUAACCAUUUCUGCAUCUCUGUGUUAGGUUGACAACUAUGAUUGAUAAACCUUGACUUGUUUCCCUUGUUUGUUGCAUCAAUGACCAUGUUGCUACUGACCUCACAAAGGUAAAAAUUAGUGUAGCGCUGUCUCUUCAUUUUCCAUAGUCUUUCCUCACAAGUUCUGUCAUCAAUAACUAAAACAUUGAUGCAGGAUACAUGGACGUUAGUUUAAUCGCCUAGCGCGCAAUUGGAGAAAUCAUCAACAUAAUAUAUAAAAACUAUAGUAUUUGUGUACAUUUAAUUAACUUGCUCACAAUACAUUGAACAAAGCCAUACCUUCUCCUACAUAUUCUAUAAUAAACUCUCCUUUCUGUAUUCCAUCAUCAGCUACCAAUCCAAAGCCACAUUUCUCUGUCUACAUAAAAUAAUAGUCUUUUAGGGAACUGAUGAGAAGGGAUAAAUAUGUACGAAGUAAAGUUUUUAUGAGACAAUUAACUUUAUACAGCAUUCAGAGUUUCACAUGAAAUCUUGAAAAUGGAACACCAAUAAUAAUUUCGAGAAACCAGAACAUCAAAUAGUUGCUUAGAUUCUCUCCAUACUUUAACACAGAAAAGUAUGCUUUCCUCCUCACACAUUUUAAGUUUGCCAACUGUAAAGUAUUUAAUGGUUUUUUUUACUGAAAAGUACUCAGUGCUUGAAGUACUGCUUCUAUUUGCACAUGAAGAUGCUACCUCACAGGAUAAACGAAGUUUCAUAGAGAAAUGGAUUUGCCAUGGUUUAAGACACAGGAUUAGUUGUGGACAAAAUAUGACUCUAUACCACAGUAUUGUUGAAUAUUUAUGCAAACAUAUAUUCAUCUCUACAAACAUGCACAUAUAAGGGCUAAACCAAAAUACACAGGACACAGGGAUAUGAAUAAUGCUUCUGAGAUUUCUCUUAGAUCUAAAGUACUUCCAAAAAUAACAAAGAAAAAUUUGCAACUGCUCAUUUCAGAAAUAACUAAUGUUAUUAAGGAAAUAAAGAAAAGCAUUCUAAAUGGAACAUCAUAAGGCAUAACAAUGUCAAUACUAGAGAACAUAGUAGCAUAAAUAUUAACCAAGGGGAGAUGGUGCAGUACUGACUAUAGAAACAAAUGCCUUUAGUACAAAAAACAGUCCCCUGUUGACCCUGCUGGACAAGGCAAAUGUAGCAGUUGUUUGCACACAGCUUUACAUGACUGUCUGCCCUCAUACGAAUUGGUAGGAACUAGGAAGCUGUUGCAAUUUUGUGAAUUGGUAUUUCUAUUUUUUUUUGUAGAUGAUAGAUGCAAAUGGGAAUCAUAUAAAUACUGAUAAGUCUUAAUUGAUGUCGUCAUUUUGUCCAUAAAUUCUUGCAUCGAACUAUUAUGCCAAAUCAUUGCGUGGUUGUUAUCUAGAAGACUAGAAGUUCUGUUUUUCUUUGUGCUUCUAUAGCAAAGCAGGGGCACUAUGCUAGUGCAUAGGAAGUUUUCAGAUAUGGCAGGUAAAGCAUUUUCUAUCAAUAUGUUUGUAUCCUCAAAGGCUAACACCUAAACACAAAUCAGAUGGAGUACGAACAAGCCAACAGUAGCAGGAAUUGGAAGGAGAGGACAGCAGCGGCCAGCCGGGGUGGAGGGGGAUGGUUGCUUUGGGCUACCAGUCAAGCUGCAGCAGAGUGAAGGACCACGGGCAUUAUGUCAAGGAGACAGAGGUAGAUUGGAAUCAGGAGCAGGGCUAUUAGAUAUAGUUUUUUGCGUGCUGAAUCACAGGUCCAUCAAGGCAGACCGUGAACAGGAGAUCAACAUCCCUGCCCCUGCUUCAAGGUGUUCUUCCCACAAUACACGGUUACCCCAAUUGUGGUAGAAAUAUCACAUCCCUGCUCCCUCUGGAAAUUAGUCUGUGGAAAGAAUUCCAGCUAAACAAAAAGGGGCAUAAUAGAGGGAUUCUCUUCCGAGAAUAGGAAAUGGGGCCCCACUGGCGUCCCUAACAUGUGAAGUCUUCAAAACGGCAGAGCAGGGUGACACAUAACUGCAACGUGAAAGGGGUUUGAUUCAUUCAAAUGUAUUUUGAAAAUAGAUAUCGUACAUAAAGAAAGGCAUAGACGAUUUCUUUUAAGAAGCAGAGGACUGUAUUCGUGGCAGGAAUGGGUCAUUACAAUAUCACUAUCUGUUCAAGAUCCAUCAUUACCAUUACAAACUUCCAUGAUUUAGAGGUAAUUUUCCCCUCAAGCUGUAUUUCCAUGUUUCAUUUUCAUCCUCUACUGAGCAUCUCCAAUGGCAUCCCCCAAAGCUAACCCAAAUGUCCUAUUUGGGGGAUAUGGACAUUUUGCUCCCAAAAUCAUCUCCCAAUGGCAUCCCCUAAACAGACAAAAUGUCAGAGCAUCUCCAAUGGCAUCCCCCAAAGUUAUCCCACAUGUCCUAUUUGGGGGAUAUGGACAUUUUGCCCCCGAAAUCAUCUCCCAAUGGCAUCCCCCUAAACGGACAAAAUGUCAUGUUUGUCCGGAUACAUCCCCCAAACUUGCCCCAAAUUUGGGGGAGGUUUGGGGUGCCCGAACAUUGUCCGGUGCUCUCUUUUGUCCGCCCCGACCCCACAACAAGAGAUGGGAAAAGGAGAAGAAAAAGUGAAAAGGAGAGGAAAAAGGAUAAAGAGAAGAAAAAGCUAAUUCAGGAGAGGAAUUUGGGGGAUGUGGUUGGGUGAUGAGGGCGGACAUGGGGAGGACACAUGUCCACUUGCUCUCCCAAAUGACCAAAAAAAGGUUUUUGGGACAAAAUUUGGGGGAUCCCAUUGGAGAUGCUCUCAUGUUUGUCCGGAUACAUCCCCCAAACUUGCCCCAAAUUUGGGGGAGGUUUGGGGUGUCCGGACAUUGUCCGGUGCUCUCUUUUGUCCCCACCGGCCCCCGCAGUCUGCCGCCGCGAUAUUUCAACCUCCAGGAGCUCCCCCUGCCCCCACCCCCUCUCCUCACCUAGCAUUAGCAACACGCAGCCGAUGGCUACCCCGGCCCCGCCCGUAGCUGCCUCGCGGGGCUCACCGCCCUGCCUCCCCAGUUCCCCGCCUCGUCAAUUCCAUCACUCCAAUUACCCAAUCAGAAUUGGGAAAUCUCCUCUGCGACUUGUGCAACUUCGGUUCAUUGCUUGCUCCUCUGUCCACUGUCUUCUACCCAAAUUUUUGUUCAUUAGUAUAUAGCUAGUUGAGAUCUGAUGAAUUGAUGAUUUCCCUUUGAUAAUUCGUUGUUUCAAUUUAAUUUUAUCAAAAAAAAACUGAAAAAGAAUUUAAUGUUAUCAAUUACUUAGGAAAAAAAUUGUCAGAACUUUUUUGGCCUGGGGCAUGAGCAAUUCCUGGCUCCACCGUUCCCUAUGCACCUAAAGGGCAUGAAACUAAUUCUCUAACCUCCCACAACUUCUAUCAAGGUAUCCGCAAAAAAAUCAUCUGCCUAAUAAACCGGAGAGUACAUAGAAAGUUGAUCACUUUCUAUGCAAGGUUCACACACCAACUAUAACAAUGAAAAUGUUCCUCAUUACUUUUCCCCUUAAAAUGGUCAUACCUUGAUCAAUUUGGUUUUUUUCAGAGGCCUGAGCUGGAAUGAUUUAUUGGCACACCUAUUCUCACAUUUGCAGUUUGAUGAACAACAAGAGAACAGCAUCCUGCACGAUAAAAUAGUGUUUCAGGAAUUUGACACAAGAUUGCUAGAAUUUAACAGUGCAGUAAUCAAAUAGCCAAGAACUUGUACAGUUUCUUCAUUUCACUUCAACAGAGAAUAAAGCAGUAUUAGAUCACUGGCUGUAAAUUUGUGCUGCAUGAGAGAGAGAGAGAGAGAGUACCCGCAUUGGCAAUCUUUUCCACAAGCGACUGAUGAUCCAGAAAUAAAAGGGCAAGAACAGAAAAUGCCGUCAUCUUCAACCCGUUUCUUAGUAAGAUAAACAUCUUAGUAAAAUUAAGGACAGCAAUAAUAUGAAAAACAAACAUACCUCUUAACAUGUCCAAAUUAAAAGUACACGUCAAGGGGGUGUAAAUGAGCAAUGACUGGAUCUUCACUCACGAAAAAAAAAUGAAUGAACAACAUUAUAUUGAGCCAUUUUGAAAUGCACCCCUUUGAACACAUUACUGCGAAAAUAUAAAAACUCGUUUUCCCAAGUCAUGCUGCUUUCUACUUUAACAAAAGGCUAUACAGCAUGAGGGUUUCUCCACUAAUUACUUAUUGUUAUGGAUGUACCACUAAUCUAGAAUCUAGACUGCAAGUGAAAUGCACAGAAAAAUAUGAUUAAUCUUCAACCUGUCGUUUUGCAAAAUAAAAAUUAGGCUAUAGUGCACAUCAUUGGCGCUCUGAGAAGUAAUAGAUUUAAGGAACCAGUUGGUAUGGAUACUUCGCUUAAUUGGUAUAUAGUAGCCUAACUUCCAUUCUUUCAACGCAGGUGGCAGAUCAAAAUCUACAAAAUCCGCAGGAUCUUGCAGUUUCCUGGUCAAUUUAUUGAAAACAUCUUCAGGUUUCUGCAGAACAAAAUAGCUGGUAAAUAGGCAUAUAAGAUAUCAACUAUAAUUUAUUUCUUUUCAUCUCUUUCAGUUUGAAUUAGUUUUGGGUUGAGAACUAAUAUCUAGGACAUUUUUCAAAUCUGGUAGGUUAGUGUAUCUAUGAUACUCCCUCUUCCCAAAAAAGAUGUCGUAUUAGCUUUUCAUAUUUUUUCCCAAAAAACAUGUCGCAUUAGCUUGGCCUGCCCCUAGUGCUAAUUAAGGUUGCCAAAAAACGUGCAAUUGGUGGCAUGCAUAGCCAUGCACUGGUUGAGCUCUUUGCAUGCACCAAUGGCUAGAAGUACCAAGGUGAAAUUUCGCAUCCGUGCUGCCAAAAUAAAUGCUAAUAGAGCUAGCUCAUGAAUCUCAUUGGUAUUUGGGAUUUUGCUAAUACGACAUCCUUUUUGGGAAGGAGGGAGUAUAUAUCUACCAUGGACUUUUUUUUUUUUUGGUAUUGCCUUUGUAGCCCAAUGUCCACUGCAUGACGAGAAUGUAGCUGAGAGUGGUAUGACAAGGAUAAUACAAGAACCGUGGGAUACACAUAAACUUGUUAAAUCACCAACUGCAACUGGUGUUCUAGUGGAGGUACCGAGGGUUGUGCUGACUGCUUAAGCUUUAGUUGCCAGAGCUUCGCAUCAGCUCAACUAUACCCGCCCCCACUCACCCCUAAGCAUAUAUCCUGGCUCCAACCUGUCUAGACUCUAUAACAGAUAAAUACAGUAUAGCAGUGGUUAACGGAUGACCGUGUGAUGCAGUACAAUUCUAUUAAGCACCUUUCAAUAGGCAAGCACAAGUCAUGUUGCAGACAGACACAUGUAUGGACCUGGGGAUUCGCCAUUUGGCCGUGAAAAAAUGGCAAAACAGGAGCACGGUCAUAUAUAGUUCAACUAUUACACUAUUUGCACACAUUUAUCUAAUUCUCUAGUCUUGACGCGUUUAUGCUAAACUGAAACUGAACGUAAGCCGGACAAAUCGAACCGUAAAUAUGAUCGCCACAGUUAAGAAGUUAAAAAUGAAUAAAAAAACUACUGUACUGUUCAAACAGCCAAGAAUCUACCAAGCUGCCUAUUUACAAUCUCUCAACAUCCCAAGUCAACAAAAGAACAACCUAGCAUUGAGAAAGGCAACUUCGCUGACAGUUUCGCGUACAGACUCCGUGACUGCCCAAAUUCAGCAGCGAGGGCACGGUGUCCUUAAGCUGAUGAUCUAGAGGACAAGGAACUCACCAUGACUGCCGGCACCGGCGGAGGACCCAGCAGGGCAAGGUAGGGCGGCCGCCCUACCUUGAUUUUUGCCUCAGUUACGAAUUGGGGCAGAUUAAGAAGAUCAAAGGGGAGCUAGGGCGGAAUCCGUUCGUGGGGUGAUGGGAGGAGAAACCGUCGGGAGCGAGAGAAUCGAAGGAGAGAGCAACCUGCGGUGGAGGCGCUCGCGCGAGGUGGAAGACGAGCUAGGGGGCUGGGGCGUGGCAGCGGGGAUGGGGAGGGAAGGGGCGGCGGCGCUCGCGCGAGGGGGGGAGAAAAUCCUGCCAGAGAAUCAGAGAACUUCUUUUUAGGAAUGCCAUUCUGCCAGCUUUUAAAAAAACCAGAAUAGCAUUUUUUUUAGAGGGAAUAGAAUUUAGUUAAGCAAAGAUAGUUAGAGCAUUUCGGGCUGGCCCCUACGCGUUUAGGGGCGCGGGCGUCCAAAAACCGACCCAGCCCAGCUCCUUAUUCUCAAAUUUUAGUCAGCGCCACCAGGCCGAACCCAACCCAUAGGGAGGCGAGCGGGGGCACCAGCGAAGUGUUUUAUGGCACGGGCCCGUUUUGUCAGCGCCAUUUAUCGUCCUCACCGGUUUCGCCUCGGCUUCCCAGGCGAGUUAUCGCGGUCGUCAGAUCAAACCGCCGCCCCGUCUCGUCGGCUUCCACGCGUCGCGCCCCCGCGCAUUCCCAACGACGUUUCUCACCGCGUCCACACCCCUAACGUGUUAACUUCGGCGCUUAUAAAAGGCAGCACCGCCCGAGAUAGCUCGUCAUUCCUCUCCCUCGGCCUUUUCCUCCCUCGCCGACCUCCUCUUGCCCUCCUCCUCAUCGCCGAUGAGAUGGCCGACAACUGGGACGACCGGCGCUGGCUCCGCCUUGGCGAGGCCGAGGCGCUCAGACGGGCCGGCUGACGGGUGCUCGGCAGCACGAACGGAUCUGGGAGCACUACUACGACGUGCUGACGCGUGGAGCAGCAGGUGUUGCCAGAGUGGGAUCGUCACACCGGCACCGCCUGGGCCGGCCUCUUCGAGGCGGAGCACCGGCGCGCCGUCCGUGAUGUGCCGCACCCGAUGGUGCAAAACAACAUCAAGGGCCGAAGCGCCUUCUGGCGACAGCCGGGGCGGUCCCUCGAGGCCGUCCUGGCGCACAUCGCCGCCGGCACCUAGCCACGACUCGACGGCGGUGCUCCCCCGCCUCCACCACUGGCCGGACGCCCCCGCUACCUAGGCGGUGGCUCUGGCUCGUCCUCUUCUUCAUCGGCGGGGCGCACGCCAUUGCUCUAGCUCCGGAUCCUCAUCGGCAGGAGCACAGCAGGCCGCGUCGCCGUCGCACAGCCACCUCCGCCUCGUCUGGCCGACGCCGGAGCCGGAGUGGGCGCCUCCGCCGGAGUACGAGAGCACCGCCAUCGAGCCCCGCGGUGACUCCAACCCGGAGAAGUUUUCGGGUCUGCGCGCCGCCGAGUGCGCCAGUUCGCACGAGGCGGAGCAGCGCCGCCUCCUCGUCUACAUGGUCUUCGAGGCCGAAGUCCAGGCUUUGCUGGACGAGGAGGAGGCGAAGGAGUCAGCGAAGCAGAAGCCGGCACUGGCACCGGUGAAGCAGGAGCCAGGUGUCAUCGUCCUCGACUCCGACGACGACGGCUCCGGCUUCAACUUCUACAACGACGGCAACAACGCCUCCUAGAUCGACCGGCGACUAGGGUUUUUUUUAAUCAUGUAAAUUAUCGCAAGUUUGAAUGAAAUGACGCGAACUUUAUGAAUUAUCGCAAGUUUAAUUUUGUUUCGAAUUUAUUAUCGGGGGCCCGGCUAGGACACGGUAGGGCCCCAAAUUAUCCUUUGCACCGGCGUCCUUCAUAUGGCCCAAAAAUAUGACAGGCCGGACGCCAUAUAUGGGGGGCCGGCUGGAGAUGCUCUUACAUCCUCCGAGAAGAUGUCACAAGAAAUCAGGCGGGUCCUCAUUCCACACACUUCGGAUGGGGAUCUGGCAUUCUGAUUUCUUGUGACAUCUUCUCGCGGAUGGUGUAACUAUCUUUGCUUAAUUAAAUGAUAUUCUGGUUUAUUCGGGCGGGAUGGUUCAACGGGCCAACCCAUCAGCAACAUAUUUCUUUAUUCGCCCAGCUUCAACAACCUUUUUUUCUUAGAAUGUCAUUCAGCCAACUUUAUUGAUCAAUACAAAUACAAGAUAAAAUAAAGUUAGGAGAAUCAUCGUCCAAGUACAAGAACCCAUAACAACCCCUCACAAUCUCAUGUGUGACGAAUUAACUUCACUAGGACAAAACUCUACCUUAGCAUUAGAAAAACCAGAUAAAAGGAUUUUGCAAUGCAAAAAGAUGGCAGCCGUCGGAGUAGCCGAAAAACCAUCAUCAAGCAUCAUCUCAACCACCAUGGCGUUGUCAGAUUGGAUGAUAAACCUGUUACAUCCAGGGUUUUGGAUUUCCGUUUCUAAUUUUUUUCGCCCCUGACCGAUAUUUCCGAAUUUUGGAAUUUUGGGUUUAGGGUUUCGGCCGCAGUCAUGACCUUUCCGGUGUCAUCUUGUCCCCCACAAACGGGAUAUCGCCACUAGCAGCAGUCAUGAACUUGCCAUUGUCAUCACGGAUCACCGCGCCAACACUUCCCCUCCCAUCAUCAAUAUUGAAAGCAGCGUCCACAUUAAUUUUCAAGAAAUCUUCUAGGGGCAGCUCCAGCCAUCUCUUUUAAUAGUCGAUCUCUUCUGCCGUACAUGCCAGUAAUUACUCGCUAAAGCCCCGAUAGCCAUGGCCGACCGGUGUGGUGCCUCCUCUGCUUUGUCUCGAACAAUUUGCCUCAUAUCCCACUAGAUAUACCAGGCCCCGGUUAAGAUAAAUCUCCGGUAGUCCGAUCCCUCACAACGGGUUCCAUGUUCCCUUCGAACAAAUGAUGUGCUCUAGAGCAAUAGCACCGGCUCUAUCAAUAGUGACUUCUUCAGCAAUAAUCUCCUGGACACCAAGUCGUUCCCAUCUUUUCGAGCACGUUGGCAGGCGAAAAGGAUGUGCAUAGUGUCUUCACAAUCUAAAGAGCAAAUUGGGCAACCACUCAAGGGAAUAGAAUGGCGAUUUGCCAAAACACCGGAAGUAAACCAUGAAGCACUCGCCACCCAAAAAUCUUAAUGUUCGCUGGGAUCUUCAAACUUCAGAGCUUCUUCCAAACAGUGCUUAUCUCGAAUCUCCCAAUACCCUUUCCUUCCUAUACCAAAUUGGUAGUCCCACUAAGCGUGAUAUGCCGAGCGAACGCUGACCAAUCUGUUCUUCGUGUCUGGCCCUGCCGGACACGAAGAAUGCACGAGAGGUUGUCGCAGGAGAAGGUAAAAGAUGGACAUGAAGGCAUAUGCUAGCCAGCCCGAUCAUGAUCGAGGAGUACUCUUUGUCUAUGUAUUAUUAUCUUGCACUGCCUGGAUACACGUUUGCAACUGGAUUUAUAUAGGAAAUUACGUGCUCAGCUCUGGCAUAGUUAGUUAGCCUAGCUAAGAUGCUGAGAAGCAUUGAUUAGUCUUUGUGCAUAUCGUAGAGUAUUUACAUUGACUGACCCAAUAUAUGUGUAGGUGGUGGUCGGUCACUUUGCUCAAAGGAUCAGAUUCGGUCGUUUGCGGCCACUUAUAGUACCAGGAGUAUUAAUUAACCACAUCGAUGACUAGGAGUUUUAUUUAUCAAUGAAACAAGCAGUUGUGUGAGGACGUUCUUUAAAAACUUCAUCAUUCUUCUAUCGGGCAUGAUUUCGGAGGUUAUGCUUGUGGAGGCCUACUUUUCCAAACAGUUAUGGGUGUGUUUGGUUUCCUGAGUGUCUUGAGCCUGUAUUGCAUCCUGGAGCCUGGGUCUAGGAACCAGGCUGAGAGGAUGCGGGCUGGAGAUAGAUACGAGUGUUUGGUUGCAGUCGAGCUCGGCCAGGAUGAGCGGCAGAGAAGAGAAGGCGAGAUGGGCCGUGGAGCUUGGUCUGGAGCAGAGCAAUGAGAUGCGCGAUCGAGGGAAGGAAAAAACCACGGGAGGAACCGUGCGAGGCCUGCACGAGGGGAUCGAAACGCCCGAUUUCCCCGCAGUCUGGCGGGAGGGCUUGUUUUGCAUCGGUCGGGCCAGGCUGAGCCCAUAGUGCAGGCCACCAAUCAAGGCCGAAUUUGCAUACAUCAUGCGAGCGAGACCUCAUGCGGGCAUCCAAUCACUGUGAGUACGCACGUUCAGGUUACAAACCUUGAGUUGAGUCUUGAGAUUAGACUAACGCAAGUCAGUCUCACUCUCAUAUACACGCCCAUAACAAAUUUCAAUUAUCCUGACUAUCAAAACUCUUAAAAACCACGUAUAGGUGAUGAGAUAGAACCAAAACACGACCGACCCAUACAGACCUGGUUCCUACGAAAUGAGUGAGUAAGCGCGCUUGGGAUAGUCUAGUUCUUUUCCUACUUGAGGGAGUGAGAACCACACACCUUCUCUUAUAAAAAUGUCAAUUACUCUUUCCAUUAACAAGGUGGAUCUAAACCUCACACCCUCGUACCACCAUCUAAUAUAAUAGGUCUUUACGAUAUUUUUCAAAUUUAUUAUUGGACUGGGAUUUGGGCCACCUAAAAUUCCAACGGUACACGUAAACACACAACGAGCUCGUAGGUGCAGCAAGCUCUAGUUGAAAUUUGUUUAAAUAAACUGGUGACUAAGAGUAAAGAACAUGGCAACCGAGUAGCUAUACAACCAAUGGAGCCUAACACAAUGGUUCAAACAUCUUUAGCUCAUUACCUUCGCCAGAACUUGUCUAAACAGAAAGAUUACGACAUAUAUUUGUCACUUUUGCAUCAAGUAUUUUGUGAACCCAUCGGCCACUAGAUCACCGGAAACAACAAACUGUACACAUAUCCAACAACAUACUCCGUAAGUGUGAAUCUAUCUUCUACAUACAUGUGAAGCUUCCAUAUAAUCCAUACAUGCGUGUUUCCAAACCUAGUAGUAGACCUGAUGCGCUUGCGGAUAACUUUCCACGCUGGGCUUCGCAUCGUCGAAGUUGAGCUGACGAGCCGGCGGAUAUUGUGACGCCGGAGCACGAGCAGCAGCCUGCGCCGUCGGGGACGACACAGCCGGCUGCAGCAUGCCGUCGUACGUCUUGGAGGGUACACGGGAAGGCGGCGAAGGCGGCGGCUCGUACCUCUUGGAUGGCACGGCAGCAGCAGCAGCAGCAGGAGGAGGAGGAGGAGGAGGAGGAGAAGGAAUCCACGCCGGCUGAGGAGGCGGCUCUUGCCUCUUGGGCGCUGAGACCGGCGUCACUACCUGUUGAGGAGGAGGAGGAGGCAACAAUUCUGUCGUCGGCGGAUAAUAAGGUGCAGGCGCUGUUACGACAUGUGGUGCUGACUGCAUCGGCGCCGGCUGGUCCGGAUUUUUGCGAAAGCUGUCAUCGUGCUUGCCAGGCUCAUCUUUGGGGCUGCCGCAGCAGAACCAGAUGUUGCAGGAGAGGUUGUCGCAGGAGAAGCUCAGAGAUGGAAGUGAAGGCAUGUCCGUCCCCGAACACUUGCUCUAUGCCAAUUAAUCGAUCUACCUAUAUUGCAGAUUUGCAGUGCUUAGCUACAGAUUUAAGACUGGGUUUAUAUAGGAAAGCCAGCACGUACGUCCAUCAGGCUUAGUACGUGUAUUAGCGUACGUAGCUUGGAUGCUAAGGAUUGGUAACAUCUUUGUGGUUGGUAUCUAUAGCUAUAUUGACUUGACCGAAUUAUGCUAUUGGUGGUCGGUCACACUUUAAUUUGACGGAAGGAUCAGAUUCCAUCGCCCACUCC